This is a long non-coding RNA of Cyprinus carpio (common carp), 851 nucleotides long. The record is from Ensembl. Lineage: Eukaryota; Metazoa; Chordata; Actinopteri; Cypriniformes; Cyprinidae.
UUUACAUUUUGAUUAUUGGGAUAAAAUAUUUUUAUUUAGAAUUAGGUGUACACUGCUUUUUAAAGACUUAGGGUCAGUGCAUCAUGUGACACUGAAGACUGGGGUAAUGAUACUGAAAAUUCAGCUUUACAUCACAGGAGUAAAUUACAUUUUACAAUAUAUUCAAAUAGAAAACAGUUAUUUUAAAUUGUAAUAUUUCACCUUUUUUUGAUCAAAUAAAUGCAGACUUAGUGAGCAGAAGAGUAUAUUAAUAAAAUAAAAUCUCGGUUUUGAUUUCAGUUGUCGGUUCUCUCACUUAUUUAUUGACUUGACAAUUUGUAAUUUCUCUGUUCCGCUUGACAGAUCCUGCACUUCACGAGCAAAAAAGACUCAUGUCGUCAGAAAUUAUACAGCACAUGGAGAGUGACUUUUAUGAUUUUGAGAUGAACUGCGGUCUGCUGCUGCUUCAGACAGAUGAUGCUUCCUCCAGCUAUUUACUGUUGUGAUGAGGCAUCUUCCAGCUAUAUAUAGUAUAAUGAUAAAAGGUGAGUGAAAGCAUGUUGAUCUUACAUCACUGGUUGCAAUUUUCUUGGCUGAUUCCGAAUUUUUUGUAAGACCUGCCAAUACUGAUUUACACAGACUGUUUGAUGAAGCUGGUGUGCCAUAAAUUAAUUUAUACCGCAAAAUUGCAAAUGCAUAAAUAAUUUUAUAAGAUUAAUCUUUUAAAGAAUUUUUUGAACAUACAAAUAAGAAAUGUUUGGAAAAAUUAAAUUAAUCUUUUAAAUAUGUGACCCUGGACCACAAAAUCAGUCAUAAGGGUAAAUUUUUUUUAAAUUUAGAUUGAAACUUAAAUAAUAAAUAAGCUUUCCAUU